This is a long non-coding RNA of Stegostoma tigrinum, 252 nucleotides long. RefSeq lists it as uncharacterized. The transcript is spliced from 3 exons. Lineage: Eukaryota; Metazoa; Chordata; Chondrichthyes; Orectolobiformes; Stegostomatidae. The record is from RefSeq and is a predicted model, not a curated record.
CUUGAAUAAGCCUCAGCAGAAGACACUCAUGCUUUCGAGAAGGAAACCUGCCAUCCUUACCUGGUCUGGCCGACAUGUGAUUCCAGACCCACAGCAACGUGGUUGACUAUGAAUUCUGGACAUGUAGCUGUGGAGAUCAAAACCGGAAAUGACAAUGCUUACUAUAACAGACUGGACAGUAUAAAUUCCAAGUGGAGUGGAAUAACAUCGCUUCAUCAGAGUCUCCACAGAUGAUGUCACGUAACAUUUGAA